UACGUAGGCAGCGAGCGUUGUUCGGAGUUACUGGGCGUAAAGGGUGUGUAGGCGGUUCUUUAAGUUUGGUGUGAAAUCUCCCGGCUCAACCGGGAGGGUGCGCCGAAUACUGAGGGACUCGAGUGCGGGAGAGGAAAGUGGAAUUCCUGGUGUAGCGGUGAAAUGCGUAGAUAUCAGGAGGAACACCGGUGGUGUAGACGGCUUUCUGGACCGUAACUGA
RNAcentral lists this ribosomal RNA (220 nucleotides) under uncultured bacterium. RNAcentral's name for it is "partial 16S ribosomal RNA". It matches the Rfam family "Bacterial small subunit ribosomal RNA", at positions 524 to 743 of the family's 1533-position model. The record is from RNAcentral.